Molecule: long non-coding RNA, 2690 nt
Organism: Homarus americanus (American lobster)
Lineage: Eukaryota; Metazoa; Arthropoda; Malacostraca; Decapoda; Nephropidae
Exons: 4
Source: RefSeq, a predicted model, not a curated record
UCUCUCGACUUUGUCACUGCGCCUCACAGACAGCGCACUACUGUCCAAGUGGGACGAGCCUUUCCGGUCGCUUUAUCACAGCGCCCGCCCCAAGUAUAAUAUGCCAGUGUCUUGUUAGUCUCAAAGACGUGAAGAGUUGUGUGCGUGUUUCUAGCACAGAAUUUUGAAAAGUACAGGUGUAUCUCAGUUGGAUCUACGUUGCGGUCAAUUUCCGAGACCGAGUGAAGCAGAAGAAAGCGAAGUGUUUCUAUUUCUCCUUGUUUGUGACUGAUAACACCAGUGUUAUUCGCAAAGAAUAAAAAAAGUGAAUCUUGGUGCAGUGUGAGACCUGCAACACAGUAAUGCGCUGCAGUGAAGAGGGAAGCUGUGGAUAGUUCAGCACAGACAGGUGGGGGCAUCUUCAACCUACACCGACGACUGAUAUACGCCGUCGUCCACUGCUGCAUGAUCUUCACCCUUGGCACCAUGUGUAAUUUGGUGGCAGUGUGGUGUGUGAUGACGAGCAACAAGAUCAGUCUAUCAGUGAAGAUCAUCCUGACCAGCAUCUUCAUAACCUCACUGGGCAAGUGCCUGGUGAUAAUGCCACUAUGUGUUGAGAUGGUCCUCGCUUUGCUCUGGGGUGACCCUGGUAGAGUGAUCAAGGCCUUAUAUGCGGGACUUGGUCUGCCAAUUUUCUUUGUCUUGGACAUGGAACUUCUCUAUAACGCCAUGUUAGCCUGCAUCAGAGCCGUGGCAAGGCUAAGCUGGUCACCUCCGAGACUCUCACUUGGGCCGCCGUCAUCGUCGUCGACGUCUUCUUCAGCAUCGUCCUGACAAAUGUGGUACAAGUGACAACAAGCGUCGUCUGGCCACUGGCGGGAAGUCAAAUCAACAGUUCCAUUUAUGAAGUUGUUGCCCAAGCGGCGUGCGCCAUGAUAGCUAUUUUUGUCAGUAACCUCCUCCUGACCCUUCCCUUUGCAGUCUUCUGCAAAGAGUACGUCUCUUUGAUACCACAUUAAUACACGGCAUUAAUACAUCCACCACCACCAUAUCCAUAGUCUGCCGUCGCCAUUUGUUGAACCUUCACUAUGUGUAAUUUGAAACAUGACAAUAUGCACAGUAUUUAUACACAGUAUGUGAAAUAUUGUACAACUUGUACUGUAAACCGUUUCUUGAGUGGCAAGAAUCACAACGUAUGUUACAGUAUGUGACUAGUAUAGUUUUGCUGUAGAUUUAUGAAUAAUAUAAUAUCUGGUAUCUGAGAGCAUCCAGGUCACCUACAAAAUCAGGUUGCAAGGAAAUUUAAUUGACAAAUGUUAUAGCAUCAUAUCUUUUGCUUGCUUCUUAACGCCAUAAUAAAACAAAGUGGCUUUAAUUACUUGUGAAUUAGUUGUAAAGAGUAAUAUAUUGUUGGUUGACUGUUUUUCAUUGCUUGGAUAUUAUCAUACAAUUUUAACGUUAAAUCUCCCAGAUAUGCAAGACUUGUGUCAAGGUUUACGACACAGGGUUAAGAUACUUCACUAUUAGUUAUAUUUAUCAAGAACUUGGGCCAGACAGUAGGCAGUACGUGUGAGGCGGUGAAGGGCGUUAUGGCUCCGAUAUAAUAGUUUACUUAUUUCUGGAUUCACCUCAGAUUAUGUCCUGGUGGAGGAUUUGUGGGGAGGAGGAGUGAAGUACAAAAACUCCCUCGGAAAUAUAAAUUAUUACAUUUAUAUCAUAAGAUUUUAAUAAAGAAAGCAUUAUAGAUAUUAUACUGGAUAAAACAUAUCAACACUUAGCAUUAUAAGUUUAUAAGUCUUAUACAGGAACACAUAGUGACCAUACAGGAUAAUCAUACUGUAUCAAGCCAUCGUCAGCAAACAAAUAAAGCUCAACAUUCUAGAGUUCACUUAGUGGUCAGGUUCAGUGACCCAAGGUUGGAUUACGUUGUUUAGGUAAGGUUAGGAUGGGUUAGGUUAGUUUUGGUUAGGUUCUUUAGGUAAGGUUAGUUUAAACUAGGUGAGGUGAGGUUAGGUUGUUUAGAUAAGGUUGGGUUAGGUUGUGCAGGUAAGGUUAAGUUAGCCUCGGUUGGGCUGAGUUUGGUUAAGCUUUGAAUGCUUUCUUUGGUCAUUAAAAACUAAACUACCCGAAAGUAAUGAUUUUUCGACAUGCUAAAAAAUUAAAACUUAAAUAACCUGUGACCUUUUUUACCUACACUCUAAUCCACAUCCACACUGGAGGGGAUAUUUUUGGGUGUUGUGUUUCACCUUUUAUAAUUGUAUUUAGAUCAUAUCAAAUAAUUACUGUAUAUCAUAAUAGUGGCGGAUCCAAGGCCACGCAGUUUUCUACCGGAUUUGACAAGUGACAUGAGUUGUGUUGGUGCCGAAAUUACUGACCAGGAUGUCAAUGACCAGUAACGAAACGAGAACAUAUUGUCACAGGUCAUAAUUUCCAUCCCAGGUAGUGCCAGGGAGGGUAAACUUAAGGAAAGGCUAAAUCAAACGUGCGUUGGUAAUGUGACCUUAAUCUGACCUUACAUGACCUGAGACAAAUGAUGCUUUUAAAACUGUCACCAUAUUCUUAUACAGUAUAUCCAAUGUAAUAACUAAUAAGUAUUAUUAUAUGUUGUAGCAUUGUGCAAUAUUUAUCUUGUGUAUUCAGUAUUGUUUAUUCUGCACUAUUAUGUAAAAAAAAUUAUAUUAGUAACCUGCUCAUAAAGAUGUAAAAAUAAA